AGUGAACGCUGGCGGUAGGCCUAACACAUGCAAGUCGAACGGCAGCACAGUAAGAGCUUGCUCUUACGGGUGGCGAGUGGCGGACGGGUGAGGAAUACAUCGGAAUCUACUUUUUCGUGGGGGAUAACGUAGGGAAACUUACGCUAAUACCGCAUACGACCUACGGGUGAAAGCAGGGGAUCUUCGGACCUUGCGCGAUUGAAUGAGCCGAUGUCGGAUUAGCUAGUUGGCGGGGUAAAGGUCCACCAAGGCGACGAUCCGUAGCUGGUCUGAGAGGAUGAUCAGCCACACUGGAACUGAGACACGGUCCAGACUCCUGCGGGAGGCAGCAGUGGGGAAUAUUGGACAAUGGGCGCAAGCCUGAUCCAGCCAUACCGCGUGGGUGAAGAAGGCCUUCGGGUUGUAAAGCCCUUUUGUUGGGAAAGAAAAGCAGCAGGUUAAUACCCCGCUGUUCUGACGGUACCCAAAGAAUAAGCACCGGCUAACUUCGUG
This 492-nucleotide ribosomal RNA is filed under the name uncultured bacterium. RNAcentral's name for it is "partial 16S ribosomal RNA". It matches the Rfam family "Bacterial small subunit ribosomal RNA", at positions 29 to 507 of the family's 1533-position model. The record is from RNAcentral.